Molecule: non-coding RNA, 306 nt
Organism: Pelobates cultripes (western spadefoot toad)
Lineage: Eukaryota; Metazoa; Chordata; Amphibia; Anura; Pelobatidae
Source: the annotation of a GenBank genome assembly
GCGCCAACAAAUUCCGUAGCGCUGUACAAUGGGUGGACUAACAGACACAUAAUUGAGAUCAGACCACUGACGUACAGGAACAGAGGGGGUUGAGGGCCCUGCUCGAUGAGCUUACAUGCUAGAGGGAGUGGGGUAUAGUGACACAAAGGGUUAAAGUAGGGGAAUUAAAUAGUUUGUUACAGAAGGGUUUAUUGAGUGCUUGGUAGGUCAUUUUUGACAGGUGAAGGAACGGAGUCAUGGGGUGGGGGAUGAGAAACCUGCUGACAGUUUAAUUGAUACGCUUUAAUAAAGAAGUGAGUUUUCAAG